GAACUUAAGCAUAUCAAUAAGGCGAGGAACAGAAACCAACUGGGAUUCCCCUAGUAGUGGCGAAUGAAGCGGGAAAAGCUCAAGUUUGAAAUCCGGCGGGUGACUUCCGGAGUUGUAAGCUGAUGAGGUAUCGACCGACGUGGUCCGGGCCCAAUUUCCUUGGAACAGGAGGUCAUGGAGGGUGAGAACCCCGUCCGUGGCUCGGGUGCCAUCGUCCUUGUGUCGUGUCCUCUAAGAGUCGGGUUGUUUGGGAAUGCAGCUCAAAAUGGGUGGUAAAUUUCAUCUAAAGCUAAAUACUGGCGAGAGACCGAUAGCAAACAAGUAGAGUGAUCGAAAGAUGAAAAGUACUUUGAAAAGAGAGUGAAACAGUACGUGAAAUUGUUGAAAGGGAAGCGUUUGGCAUCAGCCCUUGGCGUCCGUCGAACAUCCAGGCUUCUGCCUGGUGCACUCGUCGGCCGUCGGGCCAGCGUCGGCUCUGCCUGUCGGAGAAAGGUCCGAGGGAUGUGGCUCACCUUCGAGCGUUAUAACCUCGGGCGUCAUGCGAUAUGGUGGGGCCGAGGUCUGCGGACUCUGUCCUAGGACGCUGGCGUAAUGGUUCCAAGCGACCCGUCUUGAAACACGGACCAAGGAGUCUAACAUCUAUGCGAGUGUUUGGGUGUCAAGCCCGUCCGCGCAAUGAAAGUGAAUGCAGGCGGGAGCCGUAAAAGGUGCACCGCCGACCGGUCCGGGGGUUUACCGAAGGAUCCGAGUAAGAGCAUAGCUGUUGGGACCCGAAA
This 776-nucleotide ribosomal RNA is filed under the name uncultured fungus. RNAcentral's name for it is "eukaryotic LSU rRNA". It matches the Rfam family "Eukaryotic large subunit ribosomal RNA", at positions 30 to 821 of the family's 3401-position model. Lineage: Eukaryota; Fungi. The record is from RNAcentral.